RNAcentral lists this ribosomal RNA (497 nucleotides) under uncultured bacterium. RNAcentral describes it as "partial 16S ribosomal RNA". It matches the Rfam family "Bacterial small subunit ribosomal RNA", at positions 28 to 507 of the family's 1533-position model. The record is from RNAcentral.
GAUGAACGCUGGCGGCGUGCCUAAUACAUGCAAGUCGAGCGAACAGACGAGGAGCUUGCUCCUCUGACGUUAGCGGCGGACGGGUGAGUAACACGUGGAUAACCUACCUAUAAGACUGGGAUAACUUCGGGAAACCGGAGCUAAUACCGGAUAAUAUAUUGAACCGCAUGGUUCAAUAGUGAAAGACGGUUUUGCUGUCACUUAUAGAUGGAUCCGCGCCGCAUUAGCUAGUUGGUAAGGUAACGGCUUACCAAGGCGACGAUGCGUAGCCGACCUGAGAGGGUGAUCGGCCACACUGGAACUGAGACACGGUCCAGACUCCUACGGGAGGCAGCAGUAGGGAAUCUUCCGCAAUGGGCGAAAGCCUGACGGAGCAACGCCGCGUGAGUGAUGAAGGUCUUCGGAUCGUAAAACUCUGUUAUUAGGGAAGAACAAGUGUGUAAGUAACUAUGCACGUCUUGACGGUACCUAAUCAGAAAGCAACGGCUAACUACGUG